UACGUAGGUGGCAAGCGUUGUCCGGAUUUAUUGGGUUUAAAGGGUGCGUAGGCGGCCCUGUAAGUCAGUGCUGAAAUAUCACGGCUUAACCGGGAGGGUGGCAUUGAUACUGCAGGGCUUGAGUGAAGUCGAGGUAGGCGGAAUUGACGGUGUGGCGGUGAAAUGCUUAGAUAUCGUCAAGAACACCGAUAGUGAAGACAGCUUACUAGACUUCAACUGACGCUGAGGCACGAAAGUGUGGGGAUCAAACAGG
This 253-nucleotide ribosomal RNA is filed under the name uncultured bacterium. RNAcentral describes it as "partial 16S ribosomal RNA". It matches the Rfam family "Bacterial small subunit ribosomal RNA", at positions 524 to 776 of the family's 1533-position model. The record is from RNAcentral.